ACGAACGCUGGCGGCGUGCUUAACACAUGCAAGUCGAACGGAAAGGCCCUGCUUUUGUGGGGUGCUCGAGUGGCGAACGGGUGAGUAACACGUGAGUAACCUGCCCUUGACUUUGGGAUAACUUCAGGAAACUGGGGCUAAUACCGGAUAGGAGCUCCUGCUGCAUGGUGGGGGUUGGAAGUUUCCGGCGGUUGGGGAUGGACUCGCGCCUUAUCAGCUUGUUGGUGGGGUAGUGGCUUACCAAGGCUUUGACGGGUAGCCGGCCUGAGAGGGUGACCGGCCACAUUGGGACUGAGAUACGGCCCAGACUCCUACGGGAGGCAGCAGUGGGGAAUAUUGCACAAUGGGCGGAAGCCUGAUGCAGCAACGCCGCGUGCGGGAUGACGGCCUUCGGGUUGUAAACCGCUUUCGCCUGUGACGAAGCGUGAGUGACGGUAAUGGGUAAAGAAGCACCGGCUAACUACGUG
RNAcentral lists this ribosomal RNA (467 nucleotides) under uncultured bacterium. RNAcentral describes it as "partial 16S ribosomal RNA". It matches the Rfam family "Bacterial small subunit ribosomal RNA", at positions 29 to 507 of the family's 1533-position model. The record is from RNAcentral.